UGUAGUCAUAUGCUUGUCUCAAAGAUUAAGCCAUGCAUGUCUAAGUAUAAGCAAUUAUACAGUGAAACUGCGAAUGGCUCAUUAAAUCAGUUAUCGUUUAUUUGAUAGUACCUUACUACUUGGAUAUCCGUGGUAAUUCUAGAGCUAAUACAUGCUUAAAAUCCCGACCUCUGGAAGGGAUGUAUUUAUUAGAUAAAAAAUCAAUGUCUUCGGACUCUUUGAUGAUUCAUAAUAACUUUUCGAAUCGCAUGGCCUUGUGCUGGCGAUGGUUCAUUCAAAUUUCUGCCCUAUCAACUUUCGAUGGUAGGAUAGUGGCCUACCAUGGUUUCAACGGGUAACGGGGAAUAAGGGUUCGAUUCCGGAGAGGGAGCCUGAGAAACGGCUACCACAUCCAAGGAAGGCAGCAGGCGCGCAAAUUACCCAAUCCCGACACGGGGAGGUAGUGACAAUAAAUAACGAUACAGGGCCCUUAUGGGUCUUGUAAUUGGAAUGAGUACAAUGUAAAUACCUUAACGAGGAACAAUUGGAGGGCAAGUCUGGUGCCAGCAGCCGCGGUAAUUCCAGCUCCAAAAGCGUAUAUUAAAAUUGUUGCAGUUAAAAAGCUCGUAGUUGAACCUUGGGCUUGGUUAGCCGGUCCGCCUUUUGGUGAGUACUGGAUCUAACCGAGCCUUUCCUUCUGGGUAACCUUUCUUUCGGGGAAGGCGAACCAGGACUUUUACUUUGAAAAAAUUAGAGUGUUCAAAGCACGCCUUUGCUCGAAUAUAUUAGCAUGGAAAUAAUAGAAUAGGACGUUAUGGUUCUAUUUUGUUGGUUUCUAGGACCAUCGUAAUGAUUAAUAGGGACGGACGGGGGUAUCAGUAUUCAGUUGUCAGAGGUGAAAUUCUUGGAUUUACUGAAGACUAACUACUGCGAAAGCAUUUACCAAGCAUGCUUUCAUAUCAGACGAAGUAGGGAUCGAGAUGAUCAGAUACCGUCGUAGUCUAACCAUAAACUA
This 994-nucleotide ribosomal RNA is filed under the name uncultured Candida. RNAcentral's name for it is "SSU rRNA". It matches the Rfam family "Eukaryotic small subunit ribosomal RNA", at positions 19 to 1039 of the family's 1831-position model. Lineage: Eukaryota; Fungi; Ascomycota; Saccharomycetes; Saccharomycetales. The record is from RNAcentral.